GCCACCGUAGCUCAGAGAGAGCAUCGGGUAGAGCAUCGGGUUUCACAACCCGGAGAUGCAGGUUCGAAUCCUGUCGGUGGAA
This 82-nucleotide transfer RNA is filed under the name Monoraphidium minutum. RNAcentral describes it as "tRNA-OTHER". It matches the Rfam family "tRNA". Rfam says of the family: Transfer RNA (tRNA) molecules are approximately 80 nucleotides in length. The record is from RNAcentral. Lineage: Eukaryota; Viridiplantae; Chlorophyta; Chlorophyceae; Sphaeropleales; Selenastraceae.